This 355-nucleotide small RNA is filed under the name Drosophila ananassae. RNAcentral's name for it is "GF27375". Lineage: Eukaryota; Metazoa; Arthropoda; Insecta; Diptera; Drosophilidae. The record is from RNAcentral.
UAUUCAGUCGGCCUGUCUAAAAAGUUCAAAUUCCGUAAACAAACAGAAGGAAAGUAGGAGAACACCUGGGGAAAAUACUGCUUGAGAUUGUCGAUUCCGAACCCGCUGGCAGCUGCACCUGUCAUUGCUGAAAUAAACGAUAAACAGACAUGGAGGUACGGCUACACCGGACCGUGGAGUUUGCCUCACAACUCACAAUGGCCUCAAAAUUUAUGUCUGGGAUCAAAAAGUUCUCUAACCUCUGAACUGUGCAGGUGCUCGACUGGUAACGAAUACCGCAGCAGAUGGGGGCGCUAAGAGAUUUAUUAGUUCGACCAAAAUAUUGAUGAAUAAAUUAAGAAAUGCAUUUAAGGUA